UCUGGCUCUUUUAAGUCCGAGUUGUAAUUUGCAGAGGGCGCUUUGGCGUUGGCAGCGGUCCAAGUUCUUUGGAACAGGACGUCACAGAGGGUGAGAAUCCCGUACGUGGUCGCUAUCCUUCGCCGUGUAAAGCCCCUUCGACGAGUCGAGUUGUUUGGGAAUGCAGCUCUAAAUGGGAGGUAAAUUUCUUCUAAAGCUAAAUACUGGCCAGAGACCGAUAGCGCACAAGUAGAGUGAUCGAAAGAUGAAAAGCACUUUGGAAAGAGAGUCAAAUAGCACGUGAAAUUGUUGAAAGGGAAGCGCUUGCAGCCAGACUUGCUCGCAGUUGCUUAUCCGGGCUCUUGCCCGGUGCACUCUUCUGCGGGCAGGCCAGCAUCAGUUUGGGCGGUUAGAUAAAGGCCUCUGUCAUGUACCUCUCUUCGGGGAGGCCUUAUAGGGGAGGCGACAUGUAACCAGCCCGGACUGAGGUCCGCGCAUCUGCUAGGAUGCUGGCGUAAUGGCUGUAAGCGGCCCGUCUUGAAACACGGACCAAGGAGUCUAACAUCUAUGCGAGUGUUUGGGUGUCAAGCCCAGACGCGUAAUGAAAGUGAACGGAGGUAGGAACCCUUUGGGGUGCACUAUCGACCGAUCCUGAUGUCUUCGGAAGGAUUUGAGUAAGAGCAUGGCUGUUGGGACCCGAAAGAUGGUGAACUAUGCUUGAAUAGGGUGAAGCCAGAGGAAACUCUGGUGGAGGCUCGCAGCGGUUCUGACGUGCAAAUCGAUCGUCAAAUUUGGGCAUAGGGGCGAAAGACUAAUCGAACUAUCUAGUAGCUGGUUCUGCCGAGAUUUUCCCUCAGGA
This 838-nucleotide ribosomal RNA is filed under the name Muriphaeosphaeria angustifoliae. RNAcentral describes it as "partial large subunit ribosomal RNA". It matches the Rfam family "Eukaryotic large subunit ribosomal RNA", at positions 121 to 978 of the family's 3401-position model. Lineage: Eukaryota; Fungi; Ascomycota; Dothideomycetes; Pleosporales; Phaeosphaeriaceae. The record is from RNAcentral.